GUGAGUCUGAGGUGGAGGGCGGGGGUAAAGCGGUGUGUGCGGUCGUGAAGCGGAAGUAUUGGUCUUAAGGGGGGGGUGUGGGGGUUGGGAAGCCGGAGGGGAAAUCCCCGGGCGUAACCUGGGAAUGUGAGUUGGGACUGCAAGGCUGGAGUGCGGCAGAGGAGACUGGAAUUCCUGGUGGAGCAGUGAAAUGCGUAGAUAGCAGGAGGAAUACCUAUGGCGAAGGCAGGUCUCUGGGCUGACACUGACGCUCAUGCACGAAAGCGUGGGGAGCAAACAGGAUUAGAUACCCUGGUAGUC
Molecule: ribosomal RNA, 300 nt
Filed under: uncultured Thermus sp.
Lineage: Bacteria; Thermotogati; Deinococcota; Deinococci; Thermales; Thermaceae
Description: bacterial SSU rRNA
Rfam family: Bacterial small subunit ribosomal RNA (bases 74-300)
Source: RNAcentral